AGUUUUGCACAGUGGCAGUAUCGUAGCCAAUGAGGUUUAUCCGAGGCGCGAUUAUUGCUAAAUGAAAACUUCUCCCAGUCAUGUAGUGUGAGAAUAGGGACAAUUUUAUUUCUUUUCCAAUCUUUUGUAUGCUUUUUAUUUC
This is a small nuclear RNA of Nycticebus coucang (slow loris), 142 nucleotides long. RefSeq annotates it as U4 spliceosomal RNA. The record is from RefSeq and is a predicted model, not a curated record. Lineage: Eukaryota; Metazoa; Chordata; Mammalia; Primates; Lorisidae. The transcript has a single exon.